GGCGCGCACGCAUGCAGACAGGGGCGGCGGCGGCAAGGAUGGCGUCAUGCACGGCGCUGCAGCGCGCACGGCGGCGCGCGCGCGGCAAUCAAACAAUGAAGAGUUCACGCCGACGACAAAACAAAGCAAUCAAACUGCAGGGGGGAAAUCAAGAAGCGGCGGUGGUGUGAUCGAAUCGAUCGUCAAAGGAAGGUGGUUCCGGCGAAGCCGCGGUGGAGGAGGUUGUGGGCGAUGUUGUCCCUAUUGCGCUUGGCGGCCUCGGAGCGGACGGGGGUCUCCUGCAAGGUCUUGUCGUCGACGAGCUCGUACCGGAGCUACGGCUCGAGCUCCUCGUCGCGCGUCUCGCAGAUGUUGUGGAGGACGCAGCAGGUGCCGAGCACGACGGGGAGGUCCUGGAGCUUCACCUCCGUGCGCUUCUGGAG
Oryza sativa Japonica Group (Japanese rice) is the source of this 422-nucleotide long non-coding RNA. RefSeq lists it as uncharacterized. The record is from RefSeq and is a predicted model, not a curated record. NCBI's taxonomy places the organism in Eukaryota, Viridiplantae, Streptophyta, Magnoliopsida, Poales, Poaceae.